Molecule: unclassified non-coding RNA, 1334 nt
Filed under: Hevea brasiliensis (rubber tree)
Lineage: Eukaryota; Viridiplantae; Streptophyta; Magnoliopsida; Malpighiales; Euphorbiaceae
Source: RNAcentral
AAUGUGCCUUCCAGACUGCACAUGUAAGUUCCAUUGUUACGGGUAUUUGAUUUAUUAAUUACUUUUUUUAGGAAGGAAAGAAGUUACUGUAUUUUCUUGGUUUGAAUGGAAUUUGGUGUUUCGUUAGACUUGAUAAUGGAUUCUUGCGGAAGCUAAGCAAGAAGGCAGGCUAAAGCUUUGGAGUUCCUUCACCUCUGCUGUCUCAUCUAUUUUUCUUGCUGACGCUUCAGGAGUUAAUUUGUCAAGGCAUUAGGCAUUGUUCUUAUCUUUGUUUUAUUCUUGUGGAUGUACCCUCCCACCCAAGAAAAAACUUGAUAAUUUCAAAUUUAUUUUGUGCAGCUGAACAGAAAUUUUAUGAAUUAAACCCCAAUGGUCCCACAACACUAAUUUUCCGAAGGAAAUACCACAAUCAUGCAAAAGCAUUGUAUUUGUUCAUUUCUUUCCAUUCAUCUUUAAAACUGCACUUUAAAAGCUGGUAAUUUUCCUGUGGAGCAUCAUUAAUUAUAUUACUAUGCUUCUUGUGAAUCAUUAUUGGCUGUUAAUUCAUCCAAAAGAAGUAAAUAAAAACCAAUUCCUGUCUUUGCAAAUAAUAAUAAUAGUAUGCCCCUCAUCUUCCGUCAUUUUUGGGCUACUGACUUAGCCUUCUAUUGUCAUAGAGCCAUAAAGACACAAAUGAAUCUUUCAGAAACCCUCCAUACAGUUUUGUUAUCAUUUAUUGAGUCAUUAUUACAUAUAUUCAGCAAUCAUAUAUGGGUGGAUGAAAUCCACCUACAAACUGUUUCUUAGGUUUUUUGCAAGAUACCAAAUUGGUGGUCCCAUGAUAAGACCAAGUGGUACAACAUUGCAUGAACAUGCUCCAACCUGUACAUCCUUUCAUAAUGGUCAUUCACUGUUAUAGAUGGCGAGAUAAUCAAUCCAUUCAUGUCCUUGAAAAGCCCUGUUUCCAAAGGCAAGUAGCUGGUACAAGGGUCACUGGAAUCAUUUUCUUCAUGUUUGUGCAUUUGUUUUUAAUUUUUGGGAUAAAUCACUGUUUGUGCUCUUGGAAUCUUGUGUAAUUUAUAACAUUUUGCUCCUUGGCUUUGGGUGUAAAAUCCCUGAUAGGGUUUAUCCUGUAUAAAUUUGUAAUGCAUUAUUAGGUUUUCAACUCACAUAUGCAAAAUAAUACACGUAGAUUUGACAUUUCCUUACCUUAUUUAUGGUCUGUAGUUCUCUUACUUGACUGGUUUUUCUGUUUUGAUUUUGUUGCUACUGUCAUAAAUUAACUGCCUUAAUAUUCUUGUUUUAAGAAAGCCAUUGUUUAAAUGCUGGUUGCAUUAGGGGUUGUGGGUGAGUUU